This 837-nucleotide ribosomal RNA is filed under the name Bifidobacterium sp. B4. Its description in RNAcentral is "bacterial SSU rRNA". It matches the Rfam family "Bacterial small subunit ribosomal RNA", at positions 53 to 897 of the family's 1533-position model. The record is from RNAcentral. Lineage: Bacteria; Bacillati; Actinomycetota; Actinomycetes; Bifidobacteriales; Bifidobacteriaceae.
ACCAUGCAAGUCGAACGGGAUCCGCCAAGCUUGCUUGGUGGUGAGAGUGGCGAACGGGUGAGUAAUGCGUGACCAACCUGCCCCAUGCUUCGGAAUAGCUCCUGGAAACGGGUGGUAAUGCCGGAUGCUCCGCAUCAUCGCAUGAUGGUGUGGGAAAGGGUUUACCGGCAUGGGAUGGGGUCGCGUCCUAUCAGCUUGUUGGCGGGGUGAUGGCCUGCCAAGGCUUCGACGGGUAGCCGGCCUGAGAGGGCGACCGGCCACAUUGGGACUGAGAUACGGCCCAGACUCCUACGGGAGGCAGCAGUGGGGAAUAUUGCACAAUGGGCGCAAGCCUGAUGCAGCGACGCCGCGUGCGGGAUGACGGCCUUCGGGUUGUAAACCGCUUUUGAUUGGGAGCAAGCGAGAGUGAGUGUACCUUUCGAAUAAGCACCGGCUAACUACGUGCCAGCAGCCGCGGUAAUACGUAGGGUGCAAGCGUUAUCCGGAUUUAUUGGGCGUAAAGAGCUCGUAGGCGGUUCGUCGCGUCUGGUGUGAAAGUCCAUCGCUUAACGGUGGAUCGGCGCCGGGUACGGGCGGACUGGAGUGCGGUAGGGGAGACUGGAAUUCCCGGUGUAACGGUGGAAUGUGUAGAUAUCGGGAAGAACACCGAUGGCGAAGGCAGGUCUCUGGGCCGUCACUGACGCUGAGGAGCGAAAGCGUGGGGAGCGAACAGGAUUAGAUACCCUGGUAGUCCACGCCGUAAACGGUGGAUGCUGGAUGUGGGGCCCGUUCCACGGGUUCCGUGUCGGAGCUAACGCGUUAAGCAUCCCGCGUGGGGAGUACGGGCCGCAAAGCUAA